GAUGAAGAACGCAGCGAAAUGCGAAAAGUAGUGUGAAUUGCAGAAUUCAGUGAAUCAUCGAAUCUUUGAACGCACAUUGCGCCCCCUGGUAUUCCGGGGGGCAUGCCUGUUCGAGCGUCAUUUCACCACUCAAGCCUCGCUUGGUAUUGGGCAACGCGGUCCGCCGCGUGCCUCAAAUCGACCGGCUGGGUCUUCUGUCCCCUAAGCGUUGUGGAAACUAUUCGCUAAAGGGUGUUCGGGAGGCUACGCCGUAAAACAACCCCAUUUCUAAGGUUGACCUCGGAUCAGGUAGGGAUACCCGCUGAACUUAAGCAUAUCAAUAAGCGGAGGA
Molecule: unclassified non-coding RNA, 331 nt
Filed under: soil metagenome
Description: partial contains 5.8S ribosomal RNA, internal transcribed spacer 2, and large subunit ribosomal RNA
Rfam family: 5.8S ribosomal RNA (bases 1-120)
Source: RNAcentral